UACGGAGGGUGCUAGCGUUGUUCGGAAUUACUGGGCGUAAAGAGCUCGUAGGUGGUUUGUCGCGUUGUCCGUGAAAACUCACAACUCAAUUGUGGGCGUGCGGGCGAUACGGGCAGACUGGAGUACUGCAGGGGAGACUGGAAUUCCUGGUGUAGCGGUGGAAUGCGCAGAUAUCAGGAGGAACACCGGUGGCGAAGGCGGGUCUCUGGGCAGUAACUGACGCUGAGGAGCGAAAGCGUGGGGAGCGAACAGG
Molecule: ribosomal RNA, 253 nt
Filed under: uncultured bacterium
Lineage: Bacteria
Description: partial 16S ribosomal RNA
Rfam family: Bacterial small subunit ribosomal RNA
Source: RNAcentral